This is a long non-coding RNA of Sycon ciliatum, 318 nucleotides long. RefSeq lists it as uncharacterized. Lineage: Eukaryota; Metazoa; Porifera; Calcarea; Leucosolenida; Sycettidae. The transcript has 3 exons. The record is from RefSeq and is a predicted model, not a curated record.
AUUCCAAUGAAUGCCUAGCUAAGAAUCACACGUGCAAUGCUAAUGCUACAUGUACGGAUACCGUGGGUUCAUACACAUGUACUUGUAAUACUGGAUUUAUGGGAAAUGGAAGGAGCUGUUCAGAUACUAAUGAAUGUUUACUGGAACAAUAUAUCGAAAAGUGUGAUCGUAAUUCUGCUUGUCAAAACACUGUGGGGUCAUAUCAUUGUAAAUGUAACAUUGGUUAUGAAGGAACUGGUACAUUCUGCACCAAUUCCAACGAAUGUUUAUCUGGAAAUUAUACAUGCGAUGGCAAUGCUACAUGCAUAGACACUAUUG